AAGUCGUAACAAGGUUUCCGUAGGUGAACCUGCGGAAGGAUCAUUAUUGAUUUUAGCUAACCAUGGCUAUUUUAGCCAUGGUUAUGCGAAAUAUUGUAUUUAAAACCCCACUCUUUAUAAUAAAAAUUUUUAUUAUAUUUAUGAUAAAAAUAAGAUCACUUUCAACAACGGAUCUCUUGGCUCUC
This 185-nucleotide unclassified non-coding RNA is filed under the name Oehlia diaphana. RNAcentral's name for it is "partial internal transcribed spacer region". The stretch from base 1 to 46 matches the Rfam family "Eukaryotic small subunit ribosomal RNA", at positions 1786 to 1831 of the family's 1831-position model. The record is from RNAcentral. Lineage: Eukaryota; Fungi; Glomeromycota; Glomeromycetes; Glomerales; Glomeraceae.